This 24-nucleotide non-coding RNA is filed under the name Arabidopsis thaliana (thale cress). The record is from RNAcentral. Lineage: Eukaryota; Viridiplantae; Streptophyta; Magnoliopsida; Brassicales; Brassicaceae.
AUAUUCCUGGCCUAAAAAUUAGAC